UGUAGCCUACGGGGGGCAGCAGUGAGGAAUAUUGGUCAAUGGGCGGGAGCCUGAACCAGCCACGUCGCGUGAGGGAAGAAGGUACUGAGUAUUGUAAACCUCUUUUGCCAGGGGACAAAGGCGGCCACGGGUGGCCGUAAGAGGGUACCUGGAGAAAAAGCAUCGGCUAACUCCGUGCCAGCAGCCGCGGUAAUACGGAGGAUGCGAGCGUUAUCCGGAUUUAUUGGGUUUAAAGGGUGCGUAGGCGGUUUGAUAAGUUAGAGGUGAAAUGUCGGGGCUCAACCCCGAAACUGCCUCUAAUACUG
Molecule: ribosomal RNA, 305 nt
Filed under: uncultured bacterium
Lineage: Bacteria
Description: bacterial SSU rRNA
Rfam family: Bacterial small subunit ribosomal RNA
Source: RNAcentral